Molecule: ribosomal RNA, 282 nt
Filed under: uncultured Acholeplasma sp.
Lineage: Bacteria; Bacillati; Mycoplasmatota; Mollicutes; Acholeplasmatales; Acholeplasmataceae
Description: partial 16S ribosomal RNA
Rfam family: Bacterial small subunit ribosomal RNA
Source: RNAcentral
AACCCUUAUUGCUAGUUACCAUCAUUAAGUUGGGGACGUCUAGCGAGACUGCCAGUGAUAAACUGGAGGAAGGUGGGGAUGACGUCAAAUCAUCAUGCCCCUUAUGACCUGGGCUACAAACGUGAUACAAUGGCUGAAACAAAGGGCAGCGAAGCAGUGAUGUGAAGCGAAACCCAAAAAAGCAGUCUCAGUUCGGAUUGAAGUCUGCAACUCGACUUCAUGAAGUCGGAAUCGCUAGUAAUCGCGAAUCAGAACGUCGCGGUGAAUACGUUCUCGGGGUUU